RNAcentral lists this ribosomal RNA (800 nucleotides) under uncultured bacterium. Its description in RNAcentral is "bacterial SSU rRNA". It matches the Rfam family "Bacterial small subunit ribosomal RNA", at positions 8 to 803 of the family's 1533-position model. The record is from RNAcentral.
AGAGUUUGAUCCUGGCUCAGAUUGAACGCUGGCGGCAUGCCUUACACAUGCAAGUCGAACGGCAGCACGGGGGCAACCCUGGUGGCGAGUGGCGAACGGGUGAGUAACAUAUCGGAACAUACCCUAGAGUGGGGGAUAACGUAGCGAAAGUUACGCUAAUACCGCAUACGAUCUAAGGAUGAAAGUGGGGGAUCUUCGGACCUCAUGCUCAUGGAGUGGCCGAUAUCUGAUUAGCUAGUUGGUGAGGUAAAGGCUCACCAAGGCGACGAUCAGUAGCUGGUUUGAGAGAACGACCAGCCACACUGGAACUGAGACACGGUCCAGACUCCUACGGGAGGCAGCAGUGGGGAAUUUUGGACAAUGGGGGCAACCCUGAUCCAGCAAUGCCGCGUGAGUGAAGAAGGCCUUCGGGUUGUAAAGCUCUUUUGUCAGGGAAGAAACGGUGAGUUCUAAUACAGCUUGCUAAUGACGGUACCUGAAGAAUAAGCACCGGCUAACUACGUGCCAGCAGCCGCGGUAAUACGUAGGGUGCAAGCGUUAAUCGGAAUUACUGGGCGUAAAGCGUGCGCAGGCGGUUAUAUAAGUCAGAUGUGAAAUCCCUGGGCUCAACCUAGGAACUGCAUUUGAGACUGUAUGGCUAGAGUGUGUCAGAGGGGGGUAGAAUUCCACGUGUAGCAGUGAAAUGCGUAGAGAUGUGGAGGAAUACCGAUGGCGAAGGCAGCCCCCUGGGACAACACUGACGCUCAUGCACGAAAGCGUGGGGAGCAAACAGGAUUAGAUACCCUGGUAGUCCACGCCCU